This 253-nucleotide ribosomal RNA is filed under the name uncultured bacterium. RNAcentral's name for it is "partial 16S ribosomal RNA". It matches the Rfam family "Bacterial small subunit ribosomal RNA", at positions 524 to 776 of the family's 1533-position model. The record is from RNAcentral.
UACGUAGGGUGCGAGCGUUAAUCGGAAUUACUGGGCGUAAAGCGUGCGCAGGCGGUUAUGCAAGACAGAGGUGAAAUCCCCGGGCUCAACCUGGGAACUGCCUUUGUGACUGCAUGGCUAGAGUACGGUAGAGGGGGAUGGAAUUCCGCGUGUAGCAGUGAAAUGCGUAGAUAUGCGGAGGAACACCGAUGGCGAAGGCAGCUCGCUGGGACGUUACUGACGCUGAGACGCGAAAGCGUGGGGAGCAAACAGG